Non-coding RNA from Heterocephalus glaber (naked mole-rat), 1653 nucleotides. NCBI's taxonomy places the organism in Eukaryota, Metazoa, Chordata, Mammalia, Rodentia, Bathyergidae. The record is from RefSeq and is a predicted model, not a curated record.
GCCAACUGUUAUACUUAGGAAGGCUCCAUGGAAGAGGGAUUUGAUCUAUGCCUUGGAGGAAAAGCAGAAUACCAGUAGUCAGAAGGUGAAGGAAGAGAAAAGUACACUAGAUCUAAAUAACAAAUAGAAACCUCUACAUAUUCAGAGAUAUGGAGUAUUCACUUUGCUUGUCAAUCAGUAGAGAUAGGAGCAGAUAGAACUGAGAAGCUGGAUCAGAUCAAAUAUAUUAGCCUGCAGUGGGGGAAAGGAGACAAUGGAUGGGAGACAGUUGCAACAAAGACAAAAUCAACUAGAAAAUUGGAGCUUUCAGCACCACUUUCCCCAGAUUUGGGAUGGUGAGAUGGAGGAAGAAGGGUGCCUGGAGAUUGAUUGAGGGACCUAAGGGAAGGCCAUUGGAAGAAGUUCAGCUGAGAACUUCCUGAAUAUGCAAGAAAGGAUUCAACCAGCACUGUUUGCAUUUCUGCUCUCCUCCUGCAUCAGCAACAGUGGAAAGCUGUCAUCUUUACUGAGGAUAAUACUACAGGGACUGGAAUUUACUGAAUUUGUUUCUCUGCCUUGUACCUCCGUUUUUGAUGUUCUCCAAGGUUCCAUCUCCUGCCCACACUCAUCAGAAUAACACAAUUUUAUAUGAACUUUUUUCUAAGUUAGAAAGUCCAGGUAUAAACAUGGCUCAGAAAUUUACCUCCACGACCUUGGGGAAGGGACUGACUUGUCUAAUUUUCUGCAUACUCUUCUGGAAAAUGGAAACCAGAGUUCACUACCCAGAUGCUGGGGCAAAGACCCCUUCCAAGACAUCCACAAAUUCAGCAAAGCUAUUCAGCCAUAGGUAACUCAGAAAUGGCAGUUCCUUGUUCUCUUUACAGACUGGAGUAGAUUUUUAUACACUGCUUUUGCAAAGUAGACUUUUUCCACACAGAUUUUCUCCAUUCUUUCUUGGAUUAAGAAUGAUUUGUAGUCUAGAAGAGCUUGGUGCUCUGAUUUAAAGAAAUGUGACCAUCAACACAGCUUGCAGUGCAUCCUUCCUUGCUCAGUCACCUUGAAGCUAAUUUUGUAAACUGGACAAAACUAGAAAGUAUAAGACACAUGUCACAUAUUUUUCUUUCUGCAGAGCCAAAGUGUUGGACAAAUGCCUAGAUCCCGUUGGCCUGAGCCAAAUAAGUUUUUUGACCUGUGAAGAUUGGCUUCUGAGGGAAGAAAAGUUCAGGAAGUGGACUCAUUCAUCAGCAUGUCCAGAUGCUUUGAGUGAGAAAUGCAAACCUCCUUAUUUCUUUGGCAGAAUUGAAGGUUUAUGCUCCCCAGAGUCUAUCUGCUGCUUCUCAAGUAUAGCUUUGCGAUUUUACAAAUGAAAAUAUCUGAAAAGGCAAAGCUCAAAAAUUCUUUCCUGGUCUGUUUAUACAUUAUGAUCUUCUUAAGAAAAAUAUUUACAGGAAUGAAAUUUCCAGCGUUUAAGAUUGUUUAAUAGAAGACAUUUAGAUCACCAAUCGCUUCAACUCUGCAAGGGAGAAUCAUGUGCUGCUCUUCCUUUCAACUGUGUCUUUUCUAGUAAGUGAACUCUGAUAUGGGCAACGCUGCAGUUUAUAAAUAUGUGGAAACUGAAAUGAAUUGCUAAAAAUUUUGCACCAUUGACAUAUAAGUAAUUUGACAUAUGUUAAC